GACAGGAGUUCACAAUGAUUCACGACAAUACCGGUACUUCAGCAUCCCCAAACAAGACGACAACAAUGUGUCCUUCACUUCGGUACCAAAGAUUCUUCGAGCAUAAUGGAACUUCUGCGGUUCAUGCAAGGUCCGCCGAUCUCUUACCAUUGCUGCCGCGGGAAAGGGAGAGCGCGAGAACUGGCAACGGCCACUGAAAAAUUAAAGAGCACCGACUGUACUGCCGGUGGCGCUGCUCAUGUUUGUUCAGACUGGUUUCUGGUGAGAUCAUGAGAACACAAGAUGGCAUGUAUGUGUAAGGACACACAUCGUAAAUAUCGUAGCUGCAAACAAACAUAUGCUUAAUCUGAACCUUUUGAGGCUUUUCACUAGCAUAUUUCAUAUAAUAAUUAAAAUCGUUUCAAUAUGUUCCUUCUCUAUCCCAUCGGAUUUCAAAAUUGAAGAUUUCAGUGUUCAAAUAUCAUGUCUCUUUAUGUAUCAGCUAUUCGUAUGAUUGCAUCACAUGGCACAGUAGUAAACUCUGACU
Lolium perenne is the source of this 526-nucleotide non-coding RNA. The record is from RefSeq and is a predicted model, not a curated record. NCBI's taxonomy places the organism in Eukaryota, Viridiplantae, Streptophyta, Magnoliopsida, Poales, Poaceae.